GAGAACGGAGGCUGCCGAGAUUAUACAUAACUAGAAACGAAAACAAAACGACCGGCAGCACGCACGCAGACGCGCCCGUGGGCCACUCGUCACGCACGAGCGCGUGCCUCCUUUUUCUUUUGGUGAGAAGGCCAGUCUGAGCCCCCAUCCAUCGCUGCAACGGCCGCACGUAGAGAGGCCUGUUGGACGGCACGCCCUUGGAGAGUUUGUGGGCGUUAGGAGCACGGCGUACUCUCGUUCAAUAGCACCAUGAUGCGCUCCAGCGGGGUGGCGCGGCGCCAGAUGCGUCCCUACUACAAUCUGCCCUCCAAGUCGGAGCACGGGCGCCGCAUGACCGGCUUUCUCACACCGUAUCGCCACUGGAUGUGGAAGCAGAACGAGCUCUGGCGCAACGUGCAUGAGGCUCAGUUUGAGCAUCUACGAAAGUUGUACAAGCGGCAGUGGCUCGAGUCGUUCCGCGUCAACGCGGACGAGUACAUUUACAAGUACAACAUCACCAAAUCCGCGCAGCUAGCGCAGUGGGAGCACGAGAUGCAGGGCCAGGAGCGCAAGCGUCGCGAGUCGCAGCAGCUGGCACAGGGCCGCCAAGCGUUGAAGAAGAAGCACCUAGACCUGCUGCGCGAGUUCCACGAGCGGCAGUUCUUCUACUGGUACGAGCGUGCGAGCGAGCGUCUGCAGUACAUGACCCACAUCAACUACAUCUCACAAGCCAGCAUUCAGGAGCACAUCGACCGCGAGCUGGACAAGUACACGGUGGGGUCGAAGGCGCCGUACCCGCUCAACUUUGCUGGCCAGAUGCCGAUGCUGGAAGACAAGGACGGCAACAUUGCGCAAGUGCCUUCGAAUCUAAUGACGAACCACGCUACGGAGAACCCAGAUGGCGGGGCCACCAUGUACGAGGCACCAGAGGGCACCGCCGUCGCGGAAGAGAAGCUGCUGCAGAUGAUGGCGUCGGCCCAGGAGGAGGAGUUGCGCAUUCGCCCCGAGGAUAGUGACGCCUGGUCGGAGUCGAUGGAGGACAUGGACCGCAGCGAAAGUGCGAGAAUCGACUCACGUAAGGUGGCGCGUAGCAUGGAGGAGACAGAUGAGGAGCGGGAGGUGAAUCGGCGCGCCUACAUCGAUCGUGGCAAGACGGGCUCCAAGACCAUUUUCCGCCGCCCAAGGUUAGACGACGAUGGCGCCACGCCGCCGAGCGCCGGUGGCACGACGCCAAUGAAGCGCCGCAAGUCGAGGAUGGACAGGAUGCAUGCCUUACAGGAGCAGCAGGACGCGGUGGCGGCCAAGGCGACGGCCAAGGCGCUGAAGGACGAAGAUAGUGUCGCCAAGGCGACGAAGCGUGGCGAGGUGGCGGAGAAUAGAGGCCGCUUGCGCGAUCGCAUGAUCAUGCCGUCUCUUGAAACCCUGCAGCAGUCGCCUGAGAUGAUGGCGCAGAACAAGCCAGGCGGCCGUGUGCGGACACAUCACCUCAUGGAGAAGGUCUACGGUAUCGGGAGGUUCAAGAAAGGUGGUGGCGGGGAUGAGGAUGCGUAGAUGCAGAAGGCGGCGGAUUUGUCUGUGCUGGAUAUUUCGGCGUGUACGUGUCAUGCCCGCAAAGAGCAUUGAAACAGCAGCAGCACACACACACACACACCAGGGGCACCCGCAAGGGCAGAAGCGUGUCUCUGCCACCGUUGCUUGCGUUGAAGAAGAUCUAUAUGUGUAUCUGGCGGUGAACGGUCUUCCCUUGCGCCACCACCAUCUCUCUCUCUCGUUGUGAGGCACGUUUGGUUUUCCUUUUCCUUGUCGCACGUAACAGCAACCACCAAGCACUCAUGCCGGAAGAAAAAAGGAGAGACAACCAUUAGCGCAGCUCCGUGUGCUGUCCUCCUGGUGUCGUCCGUGGCACGCCUUGAUGUGUGUGCCUGUGUGUGGGGGGGGGGAGGGGGGGGGCGCACACACGCGCCAAAGUGCGAAAAGAAAGAGAUCCAACGGCGAGAGUGCUGUUCGCCCUGUUCGUUGGGUAGCCCCAAACCCUUCGACAAGGAGAAGAUGAGGGGAGGCGGACGAGGCGAACGGAGUUGUUUGGUUUGAUGCAAGCGCCCACAUGCGCACGCACACACGCAGCCACACAAAUGCGUCACGGUGACACCCUUCAUGUGUUUGCAGCUCUUCCUCACUGGCCGCUUCUUCGCCCUCCCCCUCUUAAUCCUACGUGGCUGGCCUCUCGGUAG
Molecule: unclassified non-coding RNA, 2210 nt
Filed under: Leishmania donovani
Lineage: Eukaryota; Euglenozoa; Kinetoplastea; Trypanosomatida; Trypanosomatidae
Description: gene:LdHU3.35.4640(CDS-product:hypothetical_prote in_conserved)
Source: RNAcentral